CUAAUGAUGACUGUCUCAUUGCAGGCAUUUCCGUGGUUUUGUCUUCAUGGUCAUGAUCUUCAUUAGGCUGCUGGGUUAUGUGUUUUUCCACCUGCAGUAUAUAAACCCAGACCUUCUUGUGGAUGCCCUGCCCCUGAUGAUGAGUAGGAGCAGUUUGAAGAGGCUAAGGGAUAUCUUAUUUCCCUUCCUCACUCUAGAAGUGGAUGAAGUUCUACCGCACUAAUCUGGGGUGAUCACUGCACCUCACACUGCACCUCACACUGCCCCUAAGAGGAGGAGCUGUGGCUGUGGCCUUGUAUUAGAGGUGUGGGCCGGGAAGGAAGUAGAAGUCUUCGCCCCAGAGCUGCUACUCGAUAUCCAAUCUUUUCUUUUUUUGCUUUCCCUCUGGAGUAUCUCUCUUUCAAAUAAAGAAUAUGUUUGACCAGAGUCCACCAUAUUGGUUUUGUGAGUCCUG
Molecule: long non-coding RNA, 454 nt
Filed under: Marmota monax (woodchuck)
Lineage: Eukaryota; Metazoa; Chordata; Mammalia; Rodentia; Sciuridae
Source: RNAcentral